GUAUUCGUAGUCGUUGACUUUGUCUCUCGUCCCCGAUCCGGUGCCCUUGGUAUAGCGGCCAAGGAACCUCGCCUCUCCAGAAAACCCAUCCAAGAAUCUUCACAUCCAGAAGAAGAAAAGGUGAUCAAGUGUUUGAUUUUUAGUCGAGAUAUUUGUUACUUGUUGUACUCCCUCGUGAACAACUCGGGAGCGCGGUGCAGAUUGCGGUGCAAAUGUCAGGUAGGAAGGAAACAGUUCAUGAUUUGGCGAAGUUCAUCGACAAAGGCGUCCAGGUCAAGUUAACUGGGGGAAGACAAGAAAGCUGCUUGUGUACCUCGAUAAGGACCAUUAGAAGUAAACCUGGUAGGCAUAUGUUGAAGUGGAAAGGUUAUGAUCAGCUGCUAAACUUGGUGCUAGACAAAGCGACAGAGUUCCUGAGAGAUCAUGAUGAUCCACUGAAGACAACUGAUCAAACCAGGCGCCUUGGUCUAAUCAUAUGUAGGGGGCCUGCUGAAAUGCUGGUCUCGCCAACAGAUGGAACAGAUGAAAUUGCAAACCCCUUUAUCCAACCGGAUGGAACAAGAUGUCGAUUUUAUUUGCUGGCAUGCUCUCUGCUUGGCUCGGAACAAUACUCGGACAACAGAAGGAAGAAGGCACGGCAUGAACAAGCUGCCACCGCAGGAACUGCGGGUCACAUGGUCCUCCUCCUGCCGUAAGAAGAAGCUGCAGAGAGGAAGACGAGACGAGGUGGGCUGGCGGGGGUCCUCGCUUUUCUUCGGCCUCCUCGAUACAAGGAUGGGGUGGACCGCCUCCACCUCUUCCCCUUCGCUCCGGGAUAAACUGCAACCGAACAAUGAGCGGAACGUGCCAUGCUGGUCGCCGGAUAUGAUGAUAAGCCGCAGGCCAUCAUCACCUCGUCCUAACUAUAUGAUGCCAUCCUUUAUUCUUUGGGAUUUUUCUUGUAGUGUAAAACACAUAAGACACCUUCGACAACAGUAGCGAGAUCAGGGAAAACAAUCUGGCCAGCGAAUUCACGUCACCGUCACCGUCAAGACUCGGCAAACGACUCCGACGACGCUGACGGCGAUGCUGCUGCUGGUUGUUGUUGGUGGAGGACUCUUAAGUAAUCUCGGACGUCGAAUCCCA
This is an RNA transcript of Musa acuminata AAA Group (dessert banana), 1125 nucleotides long. It is a transcript of the gene named sm-like protein LSM7, with no coding region annotated. The record is from RefSeq and is a predicted model, not a curated record. The transcript is spliced from 10 exons. NCBI's taxonomy places the organism in Eukaryota, Viridiplantae, Streptophyta, Magnoliopsida, Zingiberales, Musaceae.